Molecule: ribosomal RNA, 619 nt
Filed under: Lacticaseibacillus rhamnosus
Lineage: Bacteria; Bacillati; Bacillota; Bacilli; Lactobacillales; Lactobacillaceae
Description: bacterial SSU rRNA
Rfam family: Bacterial small subunit ribosomal RNA
Source: RNAcentral
AUGGACGCAAGUCUGAUGGAGCAACGCCGCGUGAGUGAAGAAGGCUUUCGGGUCGUAAAACUCUGUUGUUGGAGAAGAAUGGUCGGCAGAGUAACUGUUGUCGGCGUGACGGUAUCCAACCAGAAAGCCACGGCUAACUACGUGCCAGCAGCCGCGGUAAUACGUAGGUGGCAAGCGUUAUCCGGAUUUAUUGGGCGUAAAGCGAGCGCAGGCGGUUUUUUAAGUCUGAUGUGAAAGCCCUCGGCUUAACCGAGGAAGUGCAUCGGAAACUGGGAAACUUGAGUGCAGAAGAGGACAGUGGAACUCCAUGUGUAGCGGUGAAAUGCGUAGAUAUAUGGAAGAACACCAGUGGCGAAGGCGGCUGUCUGGUCUGUAACUGACGCUGAGGCUCGAAAGCAUGGGUAGCGAACAGGAUUAGAUACCCUGGUAGUCCAUGCCGUAAACGAUGAAUGCUAGGUGUUGGAGGGUUUCCGCCCUUCAGUGCCGCAGCUAACGCAUUAAGCAUUCCGCCUGGGGAGUACGACCGCAAGGUUGAAACUCAAAGGAAUUGACGGGGGCCCGCACAAGCGGUGGAGCAUGUGGUUUAAUUCGAAGCAACGCGAAGAACCUUACCAGGUCU